CCGGGUCGGUGCAGACACCCGGCCUUCAGGACACUUCGUCUCAAGCGCUGC
Molecule: non-coding RNA, 51 nt
Filed under: unclassified sequences
Description: chromate-resist RNA
Rfam family: chrB-b RNA
Source: RNAcentral